UGCCAGCAGCCGCGGUAAUACGAGGGGUGCUAGCGUUAUUCGGAAUUACUGGGCGUAAAGGGUGCGUAGACGGCGUACUAAGUCUGUUGUUAAAUCCUCCGGCCUAACCGGAGAAUCGCGAUGGAAACUAGUAUGCUUGAGGGUGAGAGAGAGAAGUGGAAUUCUCGGAGUAGCGGUAAAAUGCGUAGAUAUCGAGAGGAACACCAAUUGCGAAGGCAGCUUUCUGGAUCAUUACUGACACUGAGGAACGAAAGCAUGGGUAGCGAAGAGGAUUAGAUA
RNAcentral lists this ribosomal RNA (279 nucleotides) under uncultured bacterium. Its description in RNAcentral is "partial 16S ribosomal RNA". It matches the Rfam family "Bacterial small subunit ribosomal RNA", at positions 506 to 784 of the family's 1533-position model. The record is from RNAcentral.